RNAcentral lists this ribosomal RNA (429 nucleotides) under Pseudomonadota bacterium. Its description in RNAcentral is "Proteobacteria bacterium partial 16S ribosomal RNA". It matches the Rfam family "Bacterial small subunit ribosomal RNA", at positions 355 to 776 of the family's 1533-position model. Lineage: Bacteria; Pseudomonadati; Pseudomonadota. The record is from RNAcentral.
UGGGGAAUAUUGGACAAUGGGCGAAAGCCUGAUCCAGCCAUGCCGCGUGUGUGAAGAAGGUCUUCGGAUUGUAAAGCACUUUAAGUUGGGAGGAAGGGCAGUAAGCGAAUACCUUGCUGUUUUGACGUUACCGACAGAAUAAGCACCGGCUAACUCCGUGCCAGCAGCCGCGGUAAUACAGAGGGUGCAAGCGUUAAUCGGAAUUACUGGGCGUAAAGCGCGCGUAGGUGGUUCGUUAAGUUGAAUGUGAAAGCCCCGGGCUCAACCUGGGAACUGCAUCCAAAACUGGCGAGCUAGAGUAGGGCAGAGGGUGGUGGAAUUUCCUGUGUAGCGGUGAAAUGCGUAGAUAUAGGAAGGAACACCAGUGGCGAAGGUGACCACCUGGGCUCAUACUGACACUGAGGUGCGAAAGCGUGGGGAGCAAACAGG